AACUUUAUGGACAGAAAUACUUGUUGCUUCCUGCAGAAAGCUGUAGCAGGAAAGACAAAGAAAAGGGAAACUGUUCAUUUCUUCCUUUUAUGAAGGGCAUGCUUGUUAUUUUUUUUAACUGCGGUGUGGAGAUAGAAAGGUAGGCUGAAGGAAAGACAGGCGCAUGUUCCGUGAAAAUCACCGUUGGAGGUUUUCUUUUUGGUUUUAUAUGUUCCGUUUUCCUGUGUUACCAUACUCUUACAGCCCCCCUAUACACCGUCACGCUCUCUAAACCCCUCUCCUCUCCCCGUAUCAGCUCCACCACACCUCUGUCAGUUAUACCAGACAAUCUGAUUACGGGGUGGAGGUGGUGGUUUACCUUAAAAAUCAAGCGAACCCAUUUUAACUUCCCUCAUUCACGAUGAAGGCAUUUUCUUUCAAGGGCAGCUUUCGUUGUUAGCUCUUCAGCACAGAUUUUAUGCCAAAACUGACAUUUUUCAGGACUCACACACACCACAUACACACAACACCACACACACACACACACAGAACGCACAACACACAGACACAAAAACACAUGCAUGCACGCACACAAACACACCUCACCAAUGUUGUGCCUCUUGGUGCUGGUGCAGUGCAUUAUCAUGUGAUAUGAUAAGUAAGCAUACUAUAUUGUGUGGAAUGCGUAGUUUUAUUCUGCCUUCAUAUGCUCAUAAUUUUAUUUCUGCAGUGUUACACAGCCGCCUGUUCAUUUUCACUCUGCUAUCCAGCAGCUGAGCUGCACAUUACUGCAUCUGAAAGCACAUGCCAUGAUGUGCCAUUAACACGGGCAGAGUGCAGGGGUCUGACCACUAGAAGAGCUGCUCUUGUGGAUUGGGAGAGGGACAAUAGAGCCAACUGACACCCUCUCCCCAUUACAAUUAUGUACUACUCUGGCAGGCCAUGGGAUGCACCAUUGGACUGAAACCUAGUGUUUUUAGCAAGGCGAUUCACCUCACAGCCCACGAGCUUGCUGAAAAGUAUGGUUUUAACAAAUUUUUAAACUAUGUUUUAAAACAGCUUGCCUGAUUUUAUUGUUUCAUAACUGUCAUUGUUCUGUUAAUAUUUUUCGUUAUAAGAAAGGUUGGGUCUUUGUGUUUUGAGGAUGUCACAUUCAUCUGGAGACGUGCAUGUACUUAUGUGCGCAGUUCAGAGUGCUCUGGUCUCAAGAGAGUGGGGAAGGCGGCUUCUCUAAACUCACUUUUUGGGGAACUGAAUCUGCCGAUCCCAGCAAGCCACCAAACAUUACCAGAUUGUUGUGGUGGGAAAGCUGCUGAGAGAGUUAGUAUUGGCGUUUGAGAAAUCCCCCACAAACGCAGUUCAGAGCACCCAGGUCUGCGGCCUGUGGCUCCAGAACAUUGAUUUUUUUCUCCUUCGCCUCACGAGAAAAUCCUCCCAACUUCUCUAAUUGAAGAAGCGCUGGGGUGUCUGCACCUGACCCUGAGAGAAAAACCUCAGCUUUAAAUGUUCCUGAUUACAGGUUGUCCGUGCUCAUGUCACAUGCAGACACGCACUUGUCAAACAACAUACGCGGCGUGGAAGACAGAGGCUGGGAGAAGAGCUGGGCCUGGGUCGUCUGGUGGGCUGUCAGCAGCUGACUGCUCUGACCUCAUCCCUACAACAUUAGGCAGAAUGAAGUUGACCAGAGUGGAAUGUGAUAAAAUGAGCAAAUGACCCAGUCGACCAGCAUAACCACAGAGGGAAAAGAAGACGAGAACAGAGAGAAAGCAGCACCGUGUGAAAGUGCUGGAUGAGCCUAUUGAAUCAGCAGACACUGCUCCAGUGGUUGGUCCAAACACCUCCUCAACGCAGGGCCCCUGGCGACAGAAAGGUGACACACCCAGUGCCUGCGGUUGGGACACGUGAUGGUUCAUGGGGGUCUGAACCCCCCCCAGCACUCCGAGCGAGUGGAGCCGGUUUUGGCUCAGGUCCAGGCCCAGACAGAAAUCAGUCCGGGAUGUUCGCCUGAAUCAGAACCUUCUGCUCCCUUGGCUUGGCACAAGAAUCCGGUUGGAGUUUCCCAGGGUGAACUGGGGUCCUGAGAUGAACCUAGAGACAGCAAAUGCACCAUACUAUGAAAACAAAUCUGUACAUGCAUCACUGAUAUAGGCUUGCAAUGCAAUUUGUGUUUCUGCAGUUACUCUAUAUAUGUAUAUAGGGUUAAGGGUCAAGACUUUGGAAACAGCAGUGUGUUUACUCACUGGUGUUGCAGGGGUCAAGCUUGGAGGUGAGGUGGGACAGAUCCUGGCAAGAUAUGAGGAGAGAACUGAAGUCUAAAACAAGCCAGCGCGAAUGGAAUACAAAGAAGGAAGAGAAGGGAAAAGAGAAAGACAGGUCUCCAGGGGUGCAUUUUAAUUUACUCGAUUGCCCUAUAUUCCUCGCCACUUUUUUGUUUUGAUGGUAGGGCUGUUUUACAUAUUCUUGCCCUCAAAGCAGCCGAAGAGCGGGGGACCUGUUUUAUGUAAACGCAACGCGCCAAAUGAAAUCACGCUAUUGUAAAAAAAGACGGAGAAAACGUUUGAAAGAAAAAUGAUGUGUGACUUGCAUCCCGAGGUGAAGCAGAUAAUAAAGGGAACAUUGUGUUUAGGCCGACAGUAACAGCAUGAAAUGAUCUGAUUUAUAGAGCCCAUCAGAGGCGGACAGACUCAAAUGACUUUGGAAACACAGUGUAUCUGAGCCUGUGUGCUUGUGUGUGUGUGUGUGUGUGUGUGUGUGUAAGUGUAUACAGUACACAUGUGUGUGCAUUUUUGUGUAUGUAUGUAUUUAUAUCUGUGUAUACAGCUUGUGUGUUUGUGUGGAUGUGCCUCUAUACAUAUGUGCAUAUUUAGGUAUGUAUGUAUGCAUGCUUGUGUGUACAGUGCAGUCUGUAAGCAUUUGGACAGUGGAAUUUUUUUAUUGUUGUUUUGAGAUCAAUGUACUGACUGUCAGCUCUGAUUUAAGGGUACACCCAUAUUGAGUGAUCAGUGUAGGAAAUACAACCCUUUUUAUGCAUAGUCCCCCCAUUUUCGGGGAUCAAAAGUAAUUGUACAACUGGCUGCUCAGCUGGUCCUUGACCAGCAGUGUGUCAUUGCUUCAUUAGUUCAUAGACAAGGUCAAGAGUUGAUUCUAGGAGUGGUUUGAAUUUUGAAUUUUUGAAUUUAGAAUCCGUUGCUGUUAUCUCUCAACAUGAGGACAAAAGAAGUGUCCAUGCCAGUAAAACAGGCCACCAGGAGGCUGAAAAAAUUUGAAUACAUUGAGACAUAAAUUUAAGUGUCUCAAAAUCAGUGUUUGGUAAAAAGCCACAGUGCAAUGGUGAGCUCAGCAAUGGCAAACAACCUGGUAGACCAUGGAAGACUACUGUCGUGGAUGACCAAAGAAUACUUUCUAUUGUUUAGAAAAAACCCUUUUCAGCUGUUGAAAAGAUCAAGAACACACUCCAGGAUGUAGGCACAGAUGUGUUAGAGACUAUCAUAAAGAUAAGGGUACACCAGCAUAACCGAAGAGGGUUCACUGCAAGAUUGAAAUUGAAAUCAUCUAUGUCUAUGCAAAACUGAUUGUUGAGGUCUACCUGCUGGUAUUUACAACCAUCACAUGCUGUUAAAAUCAUGAGUACUUUUCCAUCUUGUAGAGGUAUUCAAUAGCUGGGCUGAAUUAGCUCCUAACAUUUUUUUGUUUGGUCUCAUUAGAAACAGGCUAAAACCAUGAAUGUUUUCAUGAUAAUAUCAUGGUUCAUAGCCCUGCUUUUUUAAACUACAUUUAAAUAGUAACUAAAUUGCUAGCUAUUAGAUAGGUCAAUAAAUGAGUCUGAUUCCCCCCCCCCCCUUUUUUUCCCCCACACCUUAUCUCAGCAUCAUCCAAUGAGGAAAGGCAUCCUCAAGCCCUGCAGUGGCUGGGUUAAGGUAUUUCAGAUGACUGCAAGAAAACGUUGUGUUGUGCUGCCAUUGGCUUUUGAAGAAGGGAUUUCCUCUUUUUAUUUUGGUGGUGCUUCCUUGGCUGUGUGUUUUUACCUAGUUUCCUUUUGUUCCUGUGGUGCUGAAACUAGAAGAGUGUAAUUCUCUGGCAAGGUCUGGCUUAUCAUUCUCUCUCUUUUCUGGUAAUUUCAAAUUAACGUCUUGUUUAAUGUCUUCUGUUUUGUAAAUUAGUAGUGAGCCUACAUUCAAUAAAGAAUGUAUGAUUUCAAUUAA
Molecule: long non-coding RNA, 4181 nt
Organism: Anguilla rostrata (American eel)
Lineage: Eukaryota; Metazoa; Chordata; Actinopteri; Anguilliformes; Anguillidae
Exons: 4
Source: RefSeq, a predicted model, not a curated record